GAUGAACGCUGGCGGCGUGCCUAAUACAUGCAAGUCGAGCGAACGGACGAGAAGCUUGCUUCUCUGAUUUUAGCGGCGGACGGGUGAGUAACACGUGGAUAACCUACCUAUAAGACUGGGAUAACUUCGGGAAACCGGAGCUAAUACCGGAUAAUAUUUUGAACCGCAUGGUUCAAAAGUGAAAGACGGUCUUGCUGUCACUUAUAGAUGGAUCCGCGCUGCAUUAGCUAGUUGGUAAGGUAACGGCUUACCAAGGCAACGAUGCAUAGCCGACCUGAGAGGGUGAUCGGCCCCACUUGGACUGAGACACGGUACAGACUCCUACGGGAGGCAGCAGUAGGGAAUCUUCCGCAAUGGGCGAAAGCCUGACGGAGCAACGCCGCGUGAGUGAUGAAGGUCUUCGGAUCGUAAAACUCUGUUAUUAGGGAAGAACAUAUGUGUAAGUAACUGUGCACAUCUUGACGGUACCUAAUCAGAAAGCCACGGCUAACUACGUG
RNAcentral lists this ribosomal RNA (497 nucleotides) under uncultured bacterium. Its description in RNAcentral is "partial 16S ribosomal RNA". It matches the Rfam family "Bacterial small subunit ribosomal RNA", at positions 28 to 507 of the family's 1533-position model. The record is from RNAcentral.